Molecule: non-coding RNA, 202 nt
Filed under: Candidatus Faecousia faecavium
Lineage: Bacteria; Bacillati; Bacillota; Clostridia; Eubacteriales; Oscillospiraceae
Source: RNAcentral
UAUUUCCUGCUUGGUGCGUGGCGUGUCCUUUUGGACCCACAUUUUUAAAUAGGGACGUUAGACUUCCUGGUCUGUUUGCAGACCUCCCGUUUCCGCUUUGACGGUAAAUGGAUGUUGGGAGCAGUAAUGGUCAGGAGCGGCAUCCCACCUGCCUUUUCGUGCAGGUCAUAAUUGGAUGCGUGACGGCUAAAGCGGGUGCCUG